RNAcentral lists this ribosomal RNA (320 nucleotides) under Botrytis sp. RNAcentral describes it as "partial large subunit ribosomal RNA". It matches the Rfam family "Eukaryotic large subunit ribosomal RNA", at positions 331 to 670 of the family's 3401-position model. The record is from RNAcentral. Lineage: Eukaryota; Fungi; Ascomycota; Leotiomycetes; Helotiales; Sclerotiniaceae.
AGACCGAUAGGAACAAGUAGAGUGAUCGAAAGAUGAAAAGCACUUGGAAAGAGAGUUAAACAGUACGUGAAAUUGUUGAAAGGGAAGCGCUUGCAAUCAGACUUGCACUUGGUGUUCAUCAGGGUCUCGUACCCUGUGUACUUCAUCAAGUUCAGGCCAGCAUCAGUUUGAGUGGUUAGAUAAAGGCUUAGAGAAUGUGGCCCUCUUCGGGGGGUGUUAUAGCUCUAGGUGCAAUGUAGCCUACUUGGACUGAGGACCGCGCUUCGGCUAGGAUGCUGGCGUAAUGGUUGUAAGCGACCCGUCUUGAAACACGGACCAAG